CGAAUGGGCGCAAGCCUGACCGAGCGACGCCGCGUGUGGGAUGAAGGCCUUCGGGUUGUAAACCACUGUCGAGGGGGAGGAAGCCGCAAGGUUGACCUAUCCCUGGAGGAAGCACGGGCUAAGUUCGUGCCAGCAGCCGCGGUAAGACGAACCGUGCAAACGUUACUCGGAUUCACUGGGCUUAAAGGGCGCGUAGGCGGCUCGCCAAGUCUGGGGUGAAAUCUUUCGGCUCAACCGGAAAAUUGCCUGGGAUACUGGCGGGCUCGAGGGAGGUAGGGGGUCACGGGAACGACCAGUGGAGCGGUGAAAUGCGUUGAUAUUGGUCGGAACGCCGGUGGCGAAAGCGCGUGACUGGAUCUCUUCUGACGCUGAGGCGCGAAAGCCAGGGGAGCAAACGGGAUUAGAUACCCCGGUAGUCCUGGCCUUAAACGAUGGGCACUAGGUUGCGGACGUGACAUGCGUUCGCAGCCGAAGCAAAAGUGAUAAGUGCCCCGCCUGGGGAGUAUGGUCGCAAGGCUG
Molecule: ribosomal RNA, 519 nt
Filed under: uncultured Planctomycetota bacterium
Lineage: Bacteria; Pseudomonadati; Planctomycetota
Description: bacterial SSU rRNA
Rfam family: Bacterial small subunit ribosomal RNA
Source: RNAcentral